UACCCAGCCAAAUAAUCUGCUUAUCUCAAGUGUGCUUCUGUAGAAAUUUAGGAAAGGCUGGCAAUAGUUGUUAGAUUU
This is a small nucleolar RNA of Cricetulus griseus (Chinese hamster), 78 nucleotides long. Lineage: Eukaryota; Metazoa; Chordata; Mammalia; Rodentia; Cricetidae. The record is from Ensembl.